This 78-nucleotide transfer RNA is filed under the name Nitrososphaerota archaeon. RNAcentral's name for it is "tRNA-Pro". It matches the Rfam family "tRNA". From Rfam's summary of the family: Transfer RNA (tRNA) molecules are approximately 80 nucleotides in length. Their secondary structure includes four short double-helical elements and three loops (D, anti-codon, and T loops). The record is from RNAcentral. RNAcentral also lists the same sequence under 1 other name. Lineage: Archaea; Thermoproteati; Nitrososphaerota.
GGGGCUCUCGGCUAGCUUGGUCUAGGCUUGUAGACUUGGGCUCUAUAGACUCCGGUUCAAAUCCGGAGAGCCCCACCA